UGUUAAGUUGCAAAUUCAACGCAAUAAAACACCCAAAAACAAAGUUUUAAGCAGCCGAUAAUUAACAAAUUGACAGAAGUUAGAAUCCAAUAAUUAACAAAUUGACAGAACUAGUAAUAAUUGCUAGAAUCUUCCCAAACUCAUAAAAUAGAAUGACAAAAAAUCAACUUUGCACCAAUAAGCAAGAAUUCUGAGCUUAGCUACAGAUGUAAAAUUCAUAUUCUUGAUCAUGGAGAAAUAAGACUUCUCAAGUUUCUUGGCAUACACUUGACACCUCACAACCAAG
RNAcentral lists this unclassified non-coding RNA (286 nucleotides) under Hevea brasiliensis (rubber tree). Lineage: Eukaryota; Viridiplantae; Streptophyta; Magnoliopsida; Malpighiales; Euphorbiaceae. The record is from RNAcentral.